UACGAAGGGUGCAAGCGUUAAUCGGAAUUACUGGGCGUAAAGCGCGCGUAGGUGGUUUGUUAAGUUGAAUGUGAAAGCCCCGGGCUCAACCUGGGAACUGCAUCCAAAACUGGCAAGCUAGAGUAUGGCAGAGGGUGGUGGAAUUUCCUGUGUAGCGGUGAAAUGCGUAGAUAUAGGAAGGAACACCAGUGGCGAAGGCGACCACCUGGUCAGAAACUGACGCUGAGGUACGAAAGCGUGGGGAGCAAACAGG
Molecule: ribosomal RNA, 253 nt
Filed under: uncultured microorganism
Description: partial 16S ribosomal RNA
Rfam family: Bacterial small subunit ribosomal RNA
Source: RNAcentral